GUUAGAACGCUCGUAGUCGGAUUUCGGGGCGGGCCGACCGGUCUGCCGAUGGGUACGCACUGGUCGGCGCGUCCUUCCUUCCGGAGACCGUGCCUACUCUUAACUGAGCGGGGGCGGGAGACGGAUCGUUUACUUUGAAAAAAUCAGAGUGUUUCAAGCAGGCAGCUCGCUCUUGCAUGGAUUAGCAUGGGAUAAUGAAAUAGGACUUUGGUGCUAUUUUGUUGGUUUCGAACACCGAAGUAAUGAUUAACAGGGACAGUCAGGGGCACUCGUAUUCCGCCGAGAGAGGUGAAAUUCUCAGACCAGCGGAAGACGAACUACUGCGAAAGCAUUUGCCAGGGAUGUUUUCACUGAUCAAGAACGAAAGUUAGGGGAUCGAAGACGAUCAGAUACCGUCGUAGUCUUAACCAUAAACCAUGCCGACUAGGGAUUGGAGGAUGUUCACUGAUUGACUCCUUCAGCACCUUACGGGAAACUAAAGUCUUUGGGUUCCGGGGGGAGUAUGGUCGCAAGGCUGAAACUUAAAGGAAUUGACGGAAGGGCACCACCAGGUGUGGAGCCUGCGGCUUAAUUUGACUCAACACGGGGAAACUUACCAGGUCCAGACAUUGUGAGGAUUGACAGAUUGAGAGCUCUUUCUUGAUUCGAUGGGUGGUGGUGCAUGGCCGUUCUUAGUUGGUGGAGUGAUUUGUCUGGUUAAUUCCGUU
Molecule: ribosomal RNA, 707 nt
Filed under: uncultured marine eukaryote
Lineage: Eukaryota
Description: SSU rRNA
Rfam family: Eukaryotic small subunit ribosomal RNA
Source: RNAcentral